AACGAUCGCUGGCGGCAGGCCUAAAACAUGCACGUCGAACGAACCUUCGGGUUAGUGGCGCACGGGUGCGUAACGCGUGGGAAUAUGCCUCUGGGUGCGGAACAACGUCGGGAAACUGACGCUAAUACCGCAUAAUAUCUACGGAUCAAAGGUUUAUCGCGCAGAGAUUAGCCCGCGUCUGAUUAGGUAGUUGGUGAGGUAACGGCUCACCAAGCCGACGAUCAGUAGCUGGUCUGAGAGGAUGAUCAGCCACACUGGAAAUGAGACACGGUCCAUACUACUACGGGAGGCAGCAGUUAGGAAUCUUGGACAAUGGGGGCAACCCUGCUCCAGCCAUGCCGCGUGUGUGAAGAAGGCCUUAGGGUUGUAAAGCACUUUCAGCUGUGAAGAUAAUGACAGUAACAGCAGAAGAAGCUCCGGCUAAAUUCGUGCCAGCCGCCGCCGUAA
RNAcentral lists this ribosomal RNA (447 nucleotides) under uncultured bacterium. Its description in RNAcentral is "partial 16S ribosomal RNA". It matches the Rfam family "Bacterial small subunit ribosomal RNA", at positions 29 to 523 of the family's 1533-position model. The record is from RNAcentral.